Molecule: long non-coding RNA, 310 nt
Filed under: Erythranthe guttata (spotted monkey flower)
Lineage: Eukaryota; Viridiplantae; Streptophyta; Magnoliopsida; Lamiales; Phrymaceae
Description: long non-coding RNA (EGUT_LNC000904)
Source: RNAcentral
AUCUUUCAAAUUUUGGCGUAAUCACCUCAAUUCAAAAAAAUUAGCCACACAUUCCCAUAUUACCUACCUCGGACCAAAGAGCCUAACAAUUGAAAGCCACAAAGCCCCAAUGAUCCCAAUAGCUUAUUGUUCAAUAUUAGUUGAGUAAAAUAAUUUGGUGAGUAUUUGGAGUCAAAUAUAUGCAUGUAAGUAUAAAUUCUUUCUAUCUUUAACUUGCAAAUAUUGGAUACUUGAAGCAAUUGUAGGAUUUGUGGUUUUUGGUAAUAAUGAGUGACUAAGUGCCGUUGAAUGUUAAGCUUGCGAAUACCUG